CGGGCAUUAUCACAGUUCAUCUAUUUAAUGCUGCUUUUUAGGUACCUGUUUUAUGCCAGGCAAUGCUCAAACCACUGGAAAAAAACAAAGAACCAGAGACCAAAUAGGAAGACAAGUAAAGUGGAAAAGUAGCAGUGAAAGAAUGAAUACUUUAAGCAGCUUAAUGCCAAAGGAACAUUAGACUGGAAGAGAACAAAGUGGCAGUAGGUAUUGUCGAAGAGAUAAAGAGGGACCGUGUCGUGAAGUUUUGUGUAAAAACAAGGGAUACAGAGAAGGUGAGGGGUGGAGAGAAGCAGGUUGAAGUCGCUAUGGAUAUUAAUAAUUUUUAAAUUAAAAUCCAAAUUUAAUUCAAAUGUCUAAAUGCCAGUACCCAAAAUAAAAAUAAACGACACAAAGAAGAAGUCAAAAUACUUGUUUCUCUUUUCAAAAAAAACCAUGAAGUACAUGGGUGGCUUGGCUUUAUAAGAAAGCUGCUGUGGACAGUGAAAAGAAAAAUAAAACAUGGACAUUUAGAAGAAUUACCAGGGUCAGACUGGGAUGAGAGAUCAUAGACUUAUUAUCACACCGGUUUUCACAGCUUCGUGAUUUUCAAUAGCAUUCAAUACCCCAAGUGAAAAUGCAAAUCCAGAUUGCUCAGUUGAGAAACAAUAAGGAUUUUACCAGAUAGAAAAAGGAAGGAAAAGAGUACUGCAAGGAAAUAAAGAAUUGUGCAAGAGAGCUAUUCAUGUUGUGUACUAGAUCUCGUCUGAACGAGUGUAGGGAAAAUGAGAAAAGAAAGGAAGAAAACGAGAAAAGUCAUGGAAGAAAAUGAGGCGGGUCAAGCUACUGGAUAUGGACGGGAGGAAGAGAGAGCAAUGUGAUUAUUUUAUUGUAUCUCAUGAUUUCAAAGUUGAGAAGUUCCAGAUAAUACCAAGAUCCAGCAUGGAGGCAUUGCCCAGUGGAUACUAUGGAAGGAAGUGGAGUGUCAACGAAGAAGACGAAGAGAAGCAAUGGGCAAGGAAGCCGAUUUUAGCACCACAUUCAAAAAUCGAUCCUGAAAGCUAACUCUUCCCAGCCCUAACCUGAAGUGUCGCAAACGACAAGAGAAUGAAUCAGGGCCAACGAUGUGAAUGUAUUUGCAAAACUCUGUCACCACAUACGCAUCUGACAAUAGCCCAGGAGCAUCAAGUUCGCUUACGGAGCGUGUCCAUUUAUCCUCUGAUUUUGAAGGUAACAGCUUUUGUGUUCCUUGCAGCUAUAGUGAUUGGCACAUUGCCAAUCAAAAGUAACUGAGUUGAGGACAUUGUGUUUCAAAUUUACAAUGCAAUACAAACUCCCUGUUAAAAGACAAAUCCUUCAUUUCAAAUUGUUGACUCAGAAAAUCCUUAAAAAAGAAUUCCGGCUGUUUAAAUUUAGCAUGCUGAGAAAGAACAAUCUUAAAAUAUUGUUUGGCUGUACGCCUGUAACAUUUUCAUUUUAUUCCUUGUUAGUGUUUGUCUUCUGUGAUAAGAAGACAAGUGAGAGUAAUCAUGUUAGUCUGUAACACUUCACGUUCUACCUAAAUGAACCAUUUUGUUUUUAUCCUAACCAGUUAAAGAUGGCCUUUUACUUCCUGGCCAAUUUUCAGAAAAUGAUUAAGCCAGAACCAGUGAUAUUUCCAAUUACUUUUUUACCUCUUCGGUCAGCAUCUGGCCUUUCUCCCCAACUUUUCAUUGAAUCAUUGUUUUUCCACUUUUAAAAACAGUAUGUAAAGAGAUUAUCUGAUGACAAGCAUAAUCUUUUUCUAAUAAGACCUUACAACUAUUUAAAGAGAUGUUUUGAGUCUGUACUUC
This is a long non-coding RNA of Aotus nancymaae (Ma's night monkey), 1811 nucleotides long. Lineage: Eukaryota; Metazoa; Chordata; Mammalia; Primates; Aotidae. The record is from Ensembl.